GACGAACGCUGGCGGCGUGCUUAACACAUGCAAGUCGAACGGAAAGGCCUCUUUCGGGGGGUACUCGAGUGGCGAACGGGUGAGUAACACGUGAGUAACCUGCCCUUGACUUUGGGAUAACUUCAGGAAACUGGGGCUAAUACCGGAUAGGAGCUCCUGCUGCAUGGUGGGGGUUGGAAAGUUUCGGCGGUUGGGGAUGGACUCGCGGCUUAUCAGCUUGUUGGUGGGGUAGUGGCUUACCAAGGCUUUGACGGGUAGCCGGCCUGAGAGGGUGACCGGCCACAUUGGGACUGAGAUACGGCCCAGACUCCUACGGGAGGCAGCAGUGGGGAAUAUUGCACAAUGGGUGGAAGCCUGAUGCAGCAACGCCGUGUGCGGGAUGACGGCCUUCGGGUUGUAAACCGCUUUCGCUCAUGACGAAGCUUUGUGUGACGGUAGUGGGUAAAGAAGCACCGGCUAACUAC
This 464-nucleotide ribosomal RNA is filed under the name uncultured bacterium. RNAcentral describes it as "partial 16S ribosomal RNA". It matches the Rfam family "Bacterial small subunit ribosomal RNA", at positions 28 to 504 of the family's 1533-position model. The record is from RNAcentral.